This 77-nucleotide transfer RNA is filed under the name Pseudodesulfovibrio sp. S3. RNAcentral describes it as "tRNA-Arg". It matches the Rfam family "tRNA". Rfam says of the family: Transfer RNA (tRNA) molecules are approximately 80 nucleotides in length. Their secondary structure includes four short double-helical elements and three loops (D, anti-codon, and T loops). RNAcentral also lists the same sequence under 1 other name. The record is from RNAcentral. Lineage: Bacteria; Pseudomonadati; Thermodesulfobacteriota; Desulfovibrionia; Desulfovibrionales; Desulfovibrionaceae.
GCCCCCGUAGCUCAGGUGGAUAGAGCACAGGAUUCCUAAUCCUGGUGCCACGUGUUCGAAUCGCGUCGGGGGCACCA